GCGACAGGCUUAACACAUGCAAGUCGAGGGGCAGCGGGGUAGUGCUUGCACUACUGCCGGCGACCGGCGCACGGGUGAGUAACACGUAUGGAACCUGCCCGCAGCAGGGGGAUAAGCGGAAGAAAUUCCGUCUAAUACCGCGUAACAACGUUGGGAGGCAUCUCCCGAUGUUUAAAGAUUUAUCGGCUGCGGAUGGCCAUGCGGCGCAUUAGCUAGUCGGCGGGGUAACGGCCCACCGAGGCGACGAUGCGUAGGGGUUCUGAGAGGAAGGUCCCCCACACUGGUACUGAGACACGGACCAGACUCCUACGGGAGGCAGCAGUGAGGAAUAUUGGUCAAUGGCCGAGAGGCUGAACCAGCCAAGUCGCGUGAGGGAAGACGGCCCUACGGGUUGUAAACCUCUUUUGUCGGGGAGCAAAGCGAACCACGUGUGGUUCAUUGAGAGUACCCGAAGAAAAAGCAUCGGCUAACUCCGUGCCAGCAGCCGCGGUAAUACGGAGGAUGCGAGCGUUAUCCGGAUUUAUUGGGUUUAAAGGGUGCGCAGGCGGAGGUGCAAGUCAGCGGUCAAAUUGCGGGGCUCAACCCCGUACUGCCGUUGAAACUGCAUCCCUUGAGUGCGCGAGAAGUAUGCGGAAUGCGUGGUGUAGCGGUGAAAUGCAUAGAUAUCACGCAGAACUCCGAUUGCGAAGGCAGCAUACCGGCGCGCAACUGACGCUCAUGCACGAAAGCGUGGGUAUCGAACAGGAUUAGAUACCCUGGUAGUCCACGCAGUAAACGAUGAACACUAACUGUUCGGCCAGAAUGAUGGCUGAGUGGUACAGCGAAAGCGUUAAGUGUUCCACCUGGGGAGUACGCCGGCAACGGUGAAACUCAAAGGAAUUGACGGGGGCCCGCACAAGCGGAGGAACAUGUGGUUUAAUUCGAUGAUACGCGAGGAACCUUACCCGGGCUCAAACGACACAGGAAUACUUUUGAAAGGAGGUAGCCCUACGGGGUCUGUGUCGAGGUGCUGCAUGGUUGUCGUCAGCUCGUGCCGUGAGGUGUCGGCUUAAGUGCCAUAACGAGCGCAACCCCUAUCGCCAGUUACCAUCAAGUAAAGUUGGGGACUCUGGCGAGACUGCCGGCGCAAGCUGAGAGGAAGGCGGGGAUGACGUCAAAUCAGCACGGCCCUUACGUCCGGGGCGACACACGUGUUACAAUGGCAGGUACAGAGAGAAGCCAGGUGGCGACACCGCGCGGAACUCGAAAGCCUGUCUCAGUUCGGAUCGGAGUCUGCAACCCGACUCCGUGAAGCUGGAUCCGCUAGUAAUCGCGCAUCAGCCAUGGCGCGGUGAAUACGUUCCCGGGCCUU
RNAcentral lists this ribosomal RNA (1351 nucleotides) under uncultured bacterium. RNAcentral describes it as "partial 16S ribosomal RNA". It matches the Rfam family "Bacterial small subunit ribosomal RNA", at positions 39 to 1382 of the family's 1533-position model. The record is from RNAcentral.